This 76-nucleotide transfer RNA is filed under the name Corynebacterium amycolatum SK46. RNAcentral describes it as "tRNA-Arg". It matches the Rfam family "tRNA". From Rfam's summary of the family: Transfer RNA (tRNA) molecules are approximately 80 nucleotides in length. Their secondary structure includes four short double-helical elements and three loops (D, anti-codon, and T loops). Further hydrogen bonds mediate the characteristic L-shaped molecular structure. tRNAs have two regions of fundamental functional importance: the anti-codon, which is responsible for specific mRNA codon recognition, and the 3' end, to which the tRNAs corresponding amino acid is attached (by aminoacyl-tRNA synthetases). tRNAs cope with the degeneracy of the genetic code in two manners: having more than one tRNA (with a specific anti-codon) for a particular amino acid; and 'wobble' base-pairing, i.e. permitting non-standard base-pairing at the 3rd anti-codon position. The record is from RNAcentral. Lineage: Bacteria; Bacillati; Actinomycetota; Actinomycetes; Mycobacteriales; Corynebacteriaceae.
GCCUCCAUAGCUCAGUGGACAGAGCAGUCGGCUUCUACCCGAUUGGUCGAGGGUUCGAAUCCUUCUGGGGGCGCUU